GCAAUUGACUUCCAUUUUAUUGUCUUUUAGUCCUUUUGGCAGUAAAUGAAUGGCUUGAGUGAGUGUUGAGCAGUUUAAUCUGCACCUUCAGGGAGACAGUUCUUUCAGUAACUCCACCUGAUGCCUUGCAGUGUCAAGGGAGGCUCAGCUUUGUUCUGACAGCAUUAUAGUGGAGACUUGGGCUUUCUUUUGGUGGAAUUAUUCUGCAGCCAGUUGUACAAAUAAAUGAGUAACCUAUCUGAAACAAGAUAGAAAUUGAUGUCUCACAUGCCUCCAUGAUGUUAGGAAUCCAUGUUUUAUCCUCUAGCUCCAUCAUCCACAUGAUCUUCAUUUCCAUGUGUUUCUCUAGGCCUAUGAUAGCUUCUCUAGCUAUCAUACUCCAAUCAGCAAAAAAUGAGAAAAUGUUGAGAAAUAGAAGAUAAUUCCUCAUUUAAGGCCACCUUCUAGAAUUUGUGCUUAAGAUUCUGUUUUCUUCUCAUGGGCCAGCACUUCGGCAACUGGCAAAAAUUAGGUGUACAGGGAUCUAGGUAAUGCUGUUUAUUUGAGCAAUAAUAUAUUGUGCUAACGUUCAGGCAUCCUAUUACUGAGAAAUAAGGGAAAAUGAGUGUAAAGUACAACUAAGAGUCUCGGCUACAGGGAAAAAUACCAUCAGUUAAAUAUCCAUAGUCCUAGAGAAUUUAUAUAAAACUGCAAUUUGAAUCCUGCAAUAAAUUUUGGCUUUUUCCUCAGUGAUACCAUGUGUGGGAAGUUGUUCUGUCAAGGUGGGUCGGAUAAUUUGCCCUGGAAAGGACGGAUAGUGACUUUCCUGACAUGUAAAACAUUUGAUCCUGAAGACACAAGUCAAGAAAUAGGCAUGGUGGCCAAUGGAACUAAGUGUGGUGAUAACAAGGUUUGCAUUAAUGCAGAAUGUGUGGAUAUUGAGAAAGCCUACAAAUCAACCAAUUGCUCAUCUAAGUGCAAAGGACAUGCUGUGUGUGACCAUGAGCUCCAGUGUCAAUGUGAGGAAGGAUGGAGCCCUCCUGACUGCGAUGACUCCUCAGUGGUCUUCCACUUCUCCAUUGUGGUUGGGGU
RNAcentral lists this small RNA (1071 nucleotides) under Pan troglodytes (chimpanzee). RNAcentral describes it as "retained intron". Lineage: Eukaryota; Metazoa; Chordata; Mammalia; Primates; Hominidae. The record is from RNAcentral.